AAGGGCGCACUUAUUAGGCCUGAAACCAACUUCGGUUAACGCCGAAUUGGCGGACGACGCCCGAGUAAUUGCCGCCGAUCGCAUCGGCCACGAGCCGGCGACGCCACCAUCGAGUUUCUGAUCUAUCACGCUGACGUUGGUUCGUGCUCGGCGAACCAUGGCGCUUACGGAUAACAGAGAAUCUGGGUUCGAUUCUGGAGAGGCCGCCUGAGAAACGGCGACCACUUCCAAGGAAGGCAGCAGGCACGCAAAUUACCCACUUCCGAUACGGAGAGGUAGUGACGAGAAAUACCGAUACGGCACUCGCUAAGAGACGCCGUAAUCGGAAUGAGAGCGACUCAAAAUCCCCAACGAGGAUCCACUGGAGGGAAAGCCUGGUGCCAGCAGCCGCGGUAAUUCCAGCUCCAGCAGCGUAUGUUUAUAUUGCUGCGUUUAAAAAGCUCGUAGUUGGACCGUCGGACACGGGAGGGCGGUCGGCCUAAGCGCCGCACUGCUCGGACCGUACCAAGCGCGGUCGGCACCGUCGUCGGCACUUGACUGUGUGGGCGCGCGGUCCGCCGCAUAUUCACCUUGAAGAAAGUGAACCGCUCAAAGGAGGCGCACUGCUCGAACGAUACAGCAUGGUAUGAUGGAACAAGCGCUCGGGUUGCUUUGUUGGUUGCACGACCACGAGCGAAUGAUUAAGAGGGACUGCCGGGGGCAUUCGUACUCGCGGGGGAGAGGUGAAAUUCAGAGAUCCUGCGAAGACGUCCUACUGCGAAAGCAUUUGCCAAGAAUGUUUUCAUUAAUCAAGAACGAAAGUUGGAGGCGCGAAGGCGAUCAGAUACCGCCGUAGUUCCAACCGUAAACGAUGCCAACUGGUCAUUGGCGGUUCUUCGUCGCAAGAAGCCGCCAGCAGCGCCCGGGAAACCAAAGUCAUUGGGUUCCGGGGGGAGUAUGGUUGCAAAGCUGAAACUUAAAGGAAUUGACGGAAGGGCACCACCAGGAGUGGAGCUUGCGGCUUAAUUUGACUCAACACGGGAAACCUCACCCGGCCCGGACACUGUUAUGACAGACAGAUUGAGAGCUCUUUCUCGAUUCGGUGGUUGGUGGUGCAUGGCCGUUCUUAGUUCGUGGAGCGAUUUGUCUGGUUAAUUCCGAUAACGAACGAGACGCACGCCUGCUAAAUAGACGACGCUGGCUCCGGUCGGCGAUCGAUCUCGCUUCUUAGAGGGACAAGCGGCGCCCAGCCGCGUGAAGCUGUGCGCAAUAACAGGUCAGUGAUGCCCUUAGAUGUUCGGGGCCGCACGCGCGCUACACUGUCGGCAUCAGCGUGACACCCGCGUCGAGAGGCGCGGGCAACCCGUUGAACCGUCGACGUGCUAGGGAUCGGGGCUUGCAAUUGUUCCCCGUGAACGAGGAAUUCCUUGUAGAGGCGCGUCAUCAGCGCGCCUCGAAUCCGUCCCUGCCCUUUGUACACACCGCCCGUCGCUACUACCGAUCGAAUGGAUUAGUGAGGCCUCCGGACUGCUGCUCGACCGCUUCACGGCGUCGGCGCGGCGGAAAGUGGGACGAACUUGCUCAUUUAUAGGAAGUAAAAGUCGUAACAAGGUUUUCGUAGGUGAACCUGCGGAAG
Molecule: ribosomal RNA, 1615 nt
Filed under: Alcyonidioides mytili
Lineage: Eukaryota; Metazoa; Bryozoa; Gymnolaemata; Ctenostomatida; Alcyonidiidae
Description: SSU rRNA
Rfam family: Eukaryotic small subunit ribosomal RNA
Source: RNAcentral